Molecule: long non-coding RNA, 1785 nt
Filed under: Scleropages formosus (Asian bonytongue)
Lineage: Eukaryota; Metazoa; Chordata; Actinopteri; Osteoglossiformes; Osteoglossidae
Description: lncRNA (ENSSFOG00015030054.1)
Source: RNAcentral
AUGCUGGUGAAUUUAUUAAAAUAUAGUUCUGAUAGUGUUGCCAGGUUUGUCAUGUCAUCCCAGAAGUCUCCAUCUGCAGAGACUCAGGAAAAAGUAGGACUGAAGAGGAAGCUGACCGGUCCUCCAAGACUCCUGUUGAGCAAAUCCAAGUCAAAAGGCCCCCACAAGGAGAAAGAAUACAGUACAAAUAACACUACUGGCUGUAAUGGGACUCAGAGGGGAUCCAUGUCAGAACAUCGGUUGGCCAUCAGAGAAGAGUCACUAAGGGCUGCAUCUGAAGAUCCUGAGAGAUCCACAGAAGAGUGUGGAGAAACAACACCUAGAGAUCCAGCUGGGUUGUCUGGAGGCCCUGUCAUCUCAGAAGGUAAAAUGGGAGAAGAACACACUAACAGCAAACAAAAUGUGAAAAAACAUGUGAAACCGAGGGGUUGGAAAAACUGUUGCUACCCUUCUCUCAUUUGCCUAAGAAGAAAGCCAGGAAAGCUAGAAAAAGUGUUGGCCAAGGAAGGGGAUCAGUGUGCUGGAAUCAGUUUCUGUGAAACACAGUCCAGGAGCUAUGUAGACUCUGGUGAAGACAAUGUUAAGGGAGAUGCAGUUUCUCUAGUGGGGACAAAGUCAGAGGUUACUGUUUGCACCAACACUUCUGGUACAAAAGGAGACAGAUUCACAGCUGGAAAAUGGGGGACUUUUAAGAGACUAUUAGGUACAACCAAAUAUGCCCCAGAGACCAAAGGAGGUCUUCCACGGCAGGCGCCUCCUUUUGAACCUGAGAAAAGUCCCCAUUCACAUUUUUCCUUCAGGAAUAAAUUAGGCACUCUCUUAAAGAACAGAAACAAAAAGCCUUCUCCUUUCUUCCAGGAGAGAUUUGUGGAAAGCCAUGAAUACAUAGAGGAGGAGAACAUAGUUCUUUCAAACAAGUGUGCUGAUGAUCUUAUGCCAGACACAGCUCAUGUUAUCCAAGAGGGAGGAUAUUUGGAGGGGGGGGAAAUGUGCAGAGGGCCAUGCUCUGAAAUGCUGACUGUGAGCGUGGAGGUAACUGCCAUAGCUUUAGGGGGCAAAGAAAGCCGAAACCUCCCAGAACUAAGCAUGAGCUCUCUGGAGCCUGAGGAUCACACACCCACUCAAGGUCAGAAGCAAGGUGGAGGAAAAUCAGCAGAAUAUGCAGAGGAAAGACUAGAUUCAAUUAAUGGGAUGUUGAGAGUAGUGGAUGCUUCAGAGAUUGGAGAUGCUGCAAUACUUGUGCCAAAUGAUGUAUUGUUGGAAGAGAAAAAGGAAACACUGGUUCUAAAGAAAGAUCUAAUCUCAAAUGUACCAGGCAAAACAGACAGGGAUUUCAAAGAAGCCCUGCUACAGGAAACGGGACCUGUGACUGAUAAAUGCAGGGAUUUAGUGGCAGAGUCUCAUGACUCUGAGGAAUAUGACAGUGUAACAGAAGUAAACUCCCCUCCAAACAGUACGGCAGGUGAAAGCAGUGUGCAAGAUGACUUGCCCUUGAAAAAUGUGGAGUUUGACUGUGCAGUAUGUUGUGAGGAAAUUAAUGGGGCUGUAAAAAACAUUAGUGAUGCUUCCCCUAUAGAGAACCUCCAGUCUGGUGACAGUGGCUACCAGUCAGAGCUCAGUGCUGAGAAACUUGGUCCUCAAUGCAAUGAGAUGUUACUUAGGCAGACUGCAUAUAGUCUGGUUCAGGCAGCCAUAAAGGCUGCUCUGGAUCAGCUUGAGGGGGAGCUGAAGAACAGUACAGUAAGCACCCACAGAGAGCUGCAAGAGCUUCAGGGUCAGGCUUAA